AAAACUACACUUUUGGGAACCAUUUUUAUAGUAUGUUACCAGAGAAGUGUUUCUGAAUAGUAUAGGACAUAAGAGACCCUGAUGAGCUGCAGCGCUCACUUCUGCGGUGUGAAGUUGGUCAGUGGUGCCACCUGGCGGACGUACUGCUUGCCAUUGAAGAUAGUUCUUUUCCUCAGGAGGGAAGGGACACAAGCUGAGGG
RNAcentral lists this small nucleolar RNA (200 nucleotides) under Pteropus alecto (black flying fox). RNAcentral describes it as "Small nucleolar RNA U3". It matches the Rfam family "Small nucleolar RNA U3". From Rfam's summary of the family: Small nucleolar RNAs (snoRNAs) are involved in the processing and modification of rRNA in the nucleolus. There are two main classes of snoRNAs: the box C/D class, and the box H/ACA class. Lineage: Eukaryota; Metazoa; Chordata; Mammalia; Chiroptera; Pteropodidae. The record is from Rfam by way of RNAcentral.